Podarcis lilfordi (Lilford's wall lizard) is the source of this 74-nucleotide non-coding RNA. The record is from the annotation of a GenBank genome assembly. NCBI's taxonomy places the organism in Eukaryota, Metazoa, Chordata, Lepidosauria, Squamata, Lacertidae.
ACUUCUGAUAGCUCAGCUGGUAGAGCAUGAGCCUUUUAAUCUCAGUGCCAGGAGUUCAAGCCCCACUUUGGGCA